RNAcentral lists this ribosomal RNA (268 nucleotides) under uncultured bacterium. RNAcentral describes it as "partial 16S ribosomal RNA". It matches the Rfam family "Bacterial small subunit ribosomal RNA", at positions 793 to 1055 of the family's 1533-position model. The record is from RNAcentral.
GUCCUGGCCUUAAACGAUGGAUGCUUGGUGUUUGGGGUUUUAUAGUCCCCGGGUGCCGUAGCUAACGCGUUAAGCAUCCCGCCUGGGGAGUACGGUCGCAAGACUGAAACUCAAAGGAAUUGACGGGACCCGCACAAGCGGUGGAGCAUGUGGUUCAAUUCGACGCAACGCGAAGAACCUUACCUGGGCUAGAAUGCCUCUGACAACUCCAGAGAUGGAGCCUCUUAGGGAAACCUAGGCAGAGUGCAAGGUGCUGCAUGGCUGUCGU